RNAcentral lists this ribosomal RNA (253 nucleotides) under uncultured bacterium. Its description in RNAcentral is "partial 16S ribosomal RNA". It matches the Rfam family "Bacterial small subunit ribosomal RNA", at positions 524 to 776 of the family's 1533-position model. The record is from RNAcentral.
UACGGAGGGGGCUAGCGUUGUUCGGAAUUACUGGGCGUAAAGCGCACGUAGGCGGAAUGUUAAGUCAGGGGUGAAAUCCCGGGGCUCAACCCCGGAACUGCCUUUGAUACUGGCAUUCUCGAGUCCGGAAGAGGUGAGUGGAAUUCCGAGUGUAGAGGUGAAAUUCGUAGAUAUUCGGAGGAACACCAGUGGCGAAGGCGGCUCACUGGUCCGGUACUGACGCUGAGGUGCGAAAGCGUGGGGAGCAAACAGG